CCACUUUAUAAUCCUUCUCAGGGGCAGCCGUGUCCUCACAGGUCUCAGAAAACUCUCCUUCCUUCAUACUCUCACCCGUAUACCACUGAACAAAAGCACGCUUGGCAUACAUCAGGUCAAACUUGUGGUCCAGACAAGAUCAGACCUCAGCAAUGGCUCUGGUGUUGCUCAGCGUGCACACAGCUCUCUGUACUUUGGCCAGGUCUCCACCAGGUACCACAGGCUGGUAAUUAAUGCCAACUUGGAAGCCAGUGCUGCACGAGCCCACAAACUGGAUGGAAUGCUUGGUCUUGAUGGUGGCAAUGGCAACAUUGACACCUUUGGGAACACAUUGCCACGGUACAACAGGCAGAAAGCCAUGUAGUUACCAUGCCAAAGGGCACAUUUCACCUGGUUGGCUGGUUUGAAGCAUGCAUUGUUGAUCUCUGCUACAGAAAACUGUUCAUUGUAGGCUUUCUCAGCAGAGAUGACAGGAGUAUUUGUGGGUAGGGGAAGUGGAUGUGAGGAUAGGGCACCAGGUUGGUCUGGAAUGUUGUCAGAUCAACAUUCAGGGCUCCAUCUAAUCUGAGGGAAGCAGUGAUGGAAACACACUCUGGCUAAUAAGGCAAUGAAGUUAGUGUAGGUUGGGUGUUCAAUAUUGCACUUUCUAUGGCAGAUGUCAUACAUGGCCUCAUUGUCUACCAUGAAGGCACAAUCAGAGUGCUCCAGGGUGGUAUGAGUAGUGAGAAUGGAGUUAUAGGGCUCAACUACAGCUAUGGAAAAUUCAGGGGCUGGGUAAAUGGAGAAAUCCAGCUUGAAUUUCUUUCCAUAAUUGACAAACAGAUGUUCCAUUAUCAGGGAGAUGAA
Molecule: long non-coding RNA, 846 nt
Filed under: Lynx pardinus (Iberian lynx)
Lineage: Eukaryota; Metazoa; Chordata; Mammalia; Carnivora; Felidae
Source: RNAcentral